This is a long non-coding RNA of Pezoporus occidentalis (night parrot), 3306 nucleotides long. RefSeq lists it as uncharacterized. The record is from RefSeq and is a predicted model, not a curated record. The transcript has 2 exons. Lineage: Eukaryota; Metazoa; Chordata; Aves; Psittaciformes; Psittacidae.
UACUUUCAGCUGCAGGGCUGCUGUCUCCAUACAUUCUUAUACAGAACUCAAGGAGCUAUAUGCUUUACCAGUGUGAGAAACUAUGCUCCUUCUUCAGAAAAGCUCACCUAACAAGGGCAAGCUGCAACAUGGAAGUUGGAGAGAAGACUAAAUAGAGGAUGCUGGACAAGUUAACAGCAAACUGGACUCUGAGACUAACUUGAAUAUGGAAAGGGUAGAGUUCUUACUUGCACGUAUAGCAUAUUCCAUUCCCCUUUAUUUAUUAAAGGAACUCCUCCUAUUUGGAUGACUUAGAGCUAAUAUGAUAUUUGUACAAACCUGAGCAUUUUAUAUUUCCUAUAUUUGGGGAAAGAGGAGAGAAAGGGCAUCUAAUUUUUUUAACCUCAAUGUUUCUUUUAUGGAAUCUGAUUUAUUUUUUUUUUCCAUUUACAUUGUGAGGAGAAACAGGUUUUGAAGAUACUAAGAACCCAUAAGUCUGCAAAUAGUAGUGAAUCCCUGUAUGUAUAGACUGUCUGUACAAAAUUAAUUUCUGCAAAUUGAAAGCAUGAACUUAUAUAAACAUAAACCUCACAGCAGCAUGAAAGACAAAUAAAGCCUUACAUUUUAAAUGGGAAACAAAUUAAGAAAACCUUUGCCAACUUUCUCCAGCUCUGCCCAGUUGGUAGGCACUCCAAAUUUUCCUUUUGGAGGAGAUGCUUGCUGGGGAAUGAAGAAAACACUGCGCUGUGAUAAACCAAGACAGCUGUUUAAAUUGCUUACUGUAGUAUUAAGCUGUUCUUUGUACUUUUGUUUUACUGUUUGUGCCUUUUUCUUCCUGUAGCUGCCUAACAUUGAUUGGUGUAUGAGGAUACAAAACAAAUGGCUGGAAUUAUAUUUGAACAUGGCUUAAUUCUCUACUUGAGGAGACAGUGGAAGAAGAGAAAUUAGAGAUGUGCUGCCUGGUUUAAUCAUUGUAAAAAACAGUGCAAUCCCUCUGGGCCCUCUGUCAUUGGUUAGCAGCAUUAAUGAUUCUGAACAGCAAACCCACAUUUAUGGGUUCUUUUGUCUCAAAGUUGUGCAACUUACCUCAUUUCAGAUGAGUCAUGAUUUCAUUUGAUAAUAGAAUGUAACUUUGAACCUCAGACAUAAUUGCAGAGAAAAGAAGAAAACCUGUGAUGCAGCUAACUGUCCCCAGUUGUUCUCAUGCAGGUUUUUAGUGUAGGCAGUACUGAUUUCUGCCUUAAACAUGUACACGUGUUCACCGUGGAUAUGGAAAUGUUUAAGCUGACAAUUUGUAUUAUGCUCUCUCCAUUCUUAAAAAGCUGAAUUUGUAUCAUUGCACAAAUGGCAAGGUAGCUCCUCACAUCUUAUUCUAUUACACAAGAGUUACAUAGCACUAAAAGAAAGAAUUUAUUUUUCCUUCUCUGGUAAAGGAGGCAACUUGCAAAACUCUAUCAAUACAGUUAACAUCCCACUUUACUUAUUUAUCCUUCAUGACUGGGUUCUGCAAGAAUAAAGGCCUGGAUCCCAUUUCUGUAGACUACUCAGAGGUCGUAUCAUGAAACUGUGACUUUUGCCACACAGUUGUCAACGUGCAUCCUAAUGUGCUUUUCUGGUAGACACAGGUGCCUUCAGUGGCAAGUCUCUGCUAAGACAAGCUAGGCUGUAUAUUCUUCCAUGUAUUAAAGCAUUUUCUGUAUAAAAGCAUAGUGUUCACAAAUGGAGUCAUCUGCUCAUCAGCAGCUAAAGUUGACAGAAGCAUAGCUAGAAAUUUCCAUACCUUAUCCAAGGAAUAAGAUAUUCACUGCUUACUAUAAAUGAGAAAAAAGGAAUUUUUGCAAUGCAAUGCACCAAAUGUCACAUCUGAGUGCCUAGUGUUACUCCUUGUGCAAACAAGUAAUUGAAGAAGUGAAGGUGAUUGUAACAAUAUCGAUUCCCUUUACUGUUGACUUCCCCUACAAGCCACGUGGUUGCAUGUGUUCCAUGCAAAAAGACCACUACAGCUGAACCACGUUAGCAGAGAACCACAGUUUCAGCGGAAAAGUUGUUUGUAUCUUGGCUCUGGACAGUUGUCCAUUUUAAUAAAGGAGGUAUCAAAGGCACAACACGGAAAAUGUGCUCAACUGUCCUUUGCACUUUAGCAACAUCUCCCCCAUGAGCUAGAACUACUAAAUUUUUCACAGCUUCUGACUGCUUAGAGACCAGAGCAGUUUCUCAAGCUGUUUGGUGCACCUAGACCAGCAAGGCAGCAUUAACAGGCACUGUAAACAUUAGCUUCUUGCAGCCUACAUUGCAAGUAAGCCCACCUCUGGUCAUGCUCAAGGCUGCCAUUGCCUUCUUUUGGGAUGCUAUUUCACCACGGAUAUUUAAGCACAGAUGCGGCUGUCAGUAUGCACUUCUUGGUGACAGAGAAAAGCGGGAAGAUACUUGGGAAGGUUCUGCUUUGCUCUGUCACACCCCAUGUUUUUUAUUUCCAGGUAACUCAGAGUUAUUAACUGCAAAGUACCUGGCUUCAUAGGGACAGUGGGGCUUGAAAAUGCUUUUGGAAAUGACACUUAAUGAAUCAAUGAAUCCAAACUAAAUGGAGCACAACUGUGGCUUUUUUUCUUUUUUUUUUUUUUUCUCAUUUCUCAAGCAAUAGAUAAUGUAGAAAUCUAAGAGAACAGUAACACUAUUUCCCUCAAUAGAAGAAUAGAAGACAAAUCCCCCCCAACAGGUUUUGCUUUUAAGUAAAUGGGUCAUUUUUUGGAAAAAUGUUUACUUCUCAUUAGUGUUUAACAAUUCCAGCACACAGAGUUAUGCAGGCAGAUAAGCUAUUUAGGUAAAUUAAAAUAUUUAUACAACAAUAUUAGAAUAUAUUGUGUAUGAAGUCUAAUUUAGUAACUGACACUGAUUCAUCUAGACUUUGAAAGCAAACCACAGCAGAUGCUGAAAAGGAGAAAGUAAACAAUAUAUAUGGAAAUAAUGAAGACACUUUUCCCACCACCUGGAAUGAAGCACUAAAGUUAAUAGUGCUGGUUAGCAACUGAAUAAUUUACCAAGAUGCUUGAGGUAAUUAUGCCUCUUCUUAUUAUAAAAAUAGAUCUCCUUUGCAUAUACCUAAGCUCUUAAUCUCUAUAACCUUAGUGGCAAAGAGUUCUACAGGUUAGCCCAGUAUUCUUAUACAUACAUAAUAUUAUUUUUCUGUGUAUUUAUGUAUCUAUCUCUGUUGUUGUAUAUUUAUACCUUUUUCCAGACACAGCUUAAACCAUCUGUGUUUGAGUGUAAUUGCCUAUCUUAGCUUUCGAAUACAAAUACAGAGUGUGCUAAAUAAAUAUUCUUAUAUUA